Molecule: ribosomal RNA, 407 nt
Filed under: uncultured bacterium
Lineage: Bacteria
Description: bacterial SSU rRNA
Rfam family: Bacterial small subunit ribosomal RNA
Source: RNAcentral
CGGCCAGUGAAUUCGAGCUCGGUACCCGGGGAUCCGAUCAGGCCUAACACAUGCAAGUCGAACGAUGGCAGCAAUGUCAUAGUGGCGCACGGGUGAGGAACACGUAGCUAACCUGCCCCCGAGUGUGGGAUAACGUCUCGAAAGGGAUGCUAAUACCGCAUAAGCUCACGCUGAGUAAGUAGGUGUGAGAAAAGAUUUAUCGCUUGGGGAGGGGGCUGCGGCCCAUCAGGUAGUUGGUGAGGUAACGGCUCACCAAGCCGACGACGGGUAGGGGGUCUGAGAGGAUGGCCCCCCACACUGGGACUGAGACACGGCCCAGACUCCUACGGGAGGCAGCAGUGAGGGAUAUUGCGCAAUGGGGGAAACCCUGACGCAGCGACGCCGCGUGGGUGAUGAAGGCCUUCGGG